GCUUACAGUCAUACCACCCUCACCAAGCCCAAUAUUAUCUGAUCAUGAAAGGUAAGCAGGGGUGGACUCUGGUUAGCACUUAGAUUGGAGACCACCUGGGAAUCUCCCUGAGCC
RNAcentral lists this ribosomal RNA (114 nucleotides) under Amphilophus citrinellus (Midas cichlid). Lineage: Eukaryota; Metazoa; Chordata; Actinopteri; Cichliformes; Cichlidae. The record is from RNAcentral.